GCCUGGUUGGCUCAGUUGGUAGAGCAUCUGACUCUCGAUCUCUGGGCUGUGAGUUCAAGUCCCAUGUUGGGCA
RNAcentral lists this transfer RNA (73 nucleotides) under Mustela putorius furo (domestic ferret). It matches the Rfam family "tRNA". Rfam says of the family: Transfer RNA (tRNA) molecules are approximately 80 nucleotides in length. Their secondary structure includes four short double-helical elements and three loops (D, anti-codon, and T loops). Lineage: Eukaryota; Metazoa; Chordata; Mammalia; Carnivora; Mustelidae. The record is from Rfam by way of RNAcentral.